CCUACGGGAGGCAGCAGUGGGGAAUCUUGCACAAUGGAGGAAACUCUGAUGCAGCGAUGCCGCGUGAGUGAAGAAGGCCCUUGGGUUGUAAAGCUCUUUUGUCGGGAAAGAUAAUGACUGUACCCGAAGAAUAAGGUCCGGCUAACUUCGUGCCAGCAGCCGCGGUAAUACGAAGGGACCUAGCGUAAUUCGGAAUUACUGGGCGUAAAGCGCGCGUAGGCGGUUAAGUAAGUUAAUUGUGAAAGCCCAAAGCUCAACUUUGGAAUUGCAAUUAAAACUAUUUAGCUAGAGUUUAUCAGAGGAAAGCGGAAUACAUAGUGUAGAGGUGAAAUUCGUAGAUAUUAUGUAGAACACCAGUUGCGAAGGCGGCUUUCUGGGAUAACACUGACGCUGAGGUGCGAAAGUAUGGGUAGCGAAGAGGAUUAGAUACCCUCGUAGUCCAUACCGUAAACGAUGAUUGUUAGAUGUUGGAAAUUUAUUUUCAGUAUCACAGCUAACGCGUUAAACAAUCCGCCUGGGGAGUACGACCGCAAGGUUAAAACUCAAAUGAAUUGACGG
This 558-nucleotide ribosomal RNA is filed under the name uncultured bacterium. Its description in RNAcentral is "bacterial SSU rRNA". It matches the Rfam family "Bacterial small subunit ribosomal RNA", at positions 338 to 916 of the family's 1533-position model. The record is from RNAcentral.